Molecule: long non-coding RNA, 455 nt
Filed under: Oryzias javanicus (javanese ricefish)
Lineage: Eukaryota; Metazoa; Chordata; Actinopteri; Beloniformes; Adrianichthyidae
Description: lncRNA (ENSOJAG00000012474.1)
Source: RNAcentral
GUUCCUGGAUGAUCCCGGCCACAAACAGCGGAUGUCUCAGCUCUGGACAGAAUGGGAUCAGCACGUCUUCCUCCCAAAACCAAAACGAUGCCUUUCUCCAAAUGCCUGCUGUGACCUUCGAUCUGGGAAACGAGUGGGAGGACUUUGAGGAUGAGAAGCUGCUGCGAGGCAGCCAGGAUCCCAGAGCUGAAGCUCAGUGGCUGCAGACUGAACCGAGUGUCUCAGGCUGUGCAGCUGCAUCAGCACCAGCGUUCUCCAGCCGCUCAUCUGCUAACCGUUGUGUACCUCCAGCUGCUCCACAAAGUUUAAGUCUAGCAGCUGUAAAUCCUGGAGUCAGGAGACUUGGAUCUUCUCACUGGAGCCAGAGCUUCCCGGAUCCCAGGAGAAUCACGCUUGACGUCAACACAAAGGUGCUCAUAUCUGAUUGUCCAGUUGUUUGUGUGGCUGCUUGUUGA